GUCCUUGUAGUGAAGUGGUUAACACAUUGGCCUGGAAUACGAAGACGUGGGUUCGAUUCCCGCCAAGGGCA
This 71-nucleotide transfer RNA is filed under the name Actinia tenebrosa (Australian red waratah sea anemone). Its description in RNAcentral is "tRNA-Ser". It matches the Rfam family "tRNA". From Rfam's summary of the family: Transfer RNA (tRNA) molecules are approximately 80 nucleotides in length. Their secondary structure includes four short double-helical elements and three loops (D, anti-codon, and T loops). Lineage: Eukaryota; Metazoa; Cnidaria; Anthozoa; Actiniaria; Actiniidae. The record is from Rfam by way of RNAcentral.